UUGAAAAGAGGGUGAAAAGAGCCUGAAACCGUCACGGGGGAAGCGGAUUGCGUUGGAUUGGUGGGCGCUUGUGUGUUCAGCCUUCGGGUGCAUUGGCACAAGUGCUUAUCCGCUGUGAGUUUUCGGGGGUCGAUUUUGGAUCCCUGGAGACUGAGGGCUCCCUUUUAGGUGAGGACAGCGGAGUGACGACGCGAUACGACCCGUCUUGAAACACGGACCAAGGAGUCUAGCGCGGGUGCGAGUCGGAGGGUGCAAGCCCGUGGGCGAAGUGAAAGCGAGUUUAAAAACGAGCAGUUUGGGGCGGCAUAAGAUCGUUGAUCUUAAGACCGACCCAGAGCAGUUGCGCUGGGACCCGAAAGAUGGUGAACUAUGCCGGAGUAGGGCAAAGCCAGAGGAAACUCUGGUGGAGGCUCGUAGCGGUGCUGACGUGCAAAUCGCUCGUCGAACUUGGGUAUAGGGGCGAAAGACUAAUCGAACCAUCUAGUAGCUGGUUCCCUCCGAAGUUUCUCUCAGGAUAGCGGGCCGACAAGUUGUUUUGUGCGGUAAAGCGAAUGAUUAGCGCAAUUGGGGGCGUCAAGCCUUCGGGCGAUUCUCAAACUUUCAAUGCGCAAGGGUGCCGCUGCUUAAUUG
RNAcentral lists this ribosomal RNA (630 nucleotides) under Ahnfeltiopsis devoniensis. RNAcentral's name for it is "eukaryotic LSU rRNA". It matches the Rfam family "Eukaryotic large subunit ribosomal RNA", at positions 376 to 1097 of the family's 3401-position model. The record is from RNAcentral. Lineage: Eukaryota; Rhodophyta; Florideophyceae; Gigartinales; Phyllophoraceae.